This 29-nucleotide non-coding RNA is filed under the name Cricetulus griseus (Chinese hamster). Lineage: Eukaryota; Metazoa; Chordata; Mammalia; Rodentia; Cricetidae. The record is from RNAcentral.
AGCUGGAGAAAGAAGGAGGGGGAGAGACU